This 483-nucleotide ribosomal RNA is filed under the name uncultured bacterium. RNAcentral's name for it is "partial 16S ribosomal RNA". It matches the Rfam family "Bacterial small subunit ribosomal RNA", at positions 28 to 507 of the family's 1533-position model. The record is from RNAcentral.
GACGAACGCUGGCGGCGUGCCUAACACAUGCAAGUCGAGCGGGGAUUUAAGUGGAAGUUCUUCGGAAUGGAGAUUUAAAUUCUAGCGGCGGACGGGUGAGUAACGCGUGAACAAUCUGUCCCGGACAGGGGGAUAACACUUGGAAACAGGUGCUAAUACCGCAUAAGACCACGGCCUCGCAUGGGGCUGAGGUAAAAGGAGCAAUCCGGUUCGGGGUGAGUUCGCGUCCGAUUAGCUAGUUGGUGAGGUAACGGCCCACCAAGGCGACGAUCGGUAGCCGGCCUGAGAGGGUGAACGGCCACAUUGGAACUGAGAGACGGUACAAACUCCUACGGGAGGCAGCAGUGGGGAAUAUUGGGCAAUGGGCGAAAGCCUGACCCAGCAACGCCGCGUGAGGGAAGAAGGUUUUCGGAUUGUAAACCUCUGUCCUAUGGGACGAAGGAAGUGACGGUACCAUAGGAGGAAGCCCCGGCUAACUACGUG